GUCACUGUCCACUUCAUCAAUUGAAUAUCAAGAAUGCCUUAGGGACAAAUAAUAAAAAAAAAAAGCUUAGGGUUCACUUGUUUUACCAAUUUACGAUUUUAGGGAUUGAUAUGCAUUAGAAAUUACUAGGUAAAUGAAGGAAGAUAAGGAUUACUUACCAGAUGAAGAGAUUGUCAAAGACACCACCUUAACCAACCACAAGAGCGAACUUCAUCACCUCAACUACGAACUCUACCACCGAACCACACAAAGGAUGAAACAAAGCACACAAUGAGGGCAAUGAUGGAGGCCGAAAGAAAGUGUUUCGUGAACAAGUAGCAACUUCGUGAACAAAUUAAGGAGGUCGACAAAGGAGAACGCUUCAUCGUUGAGACAAAAAAGGGAAGGAAAUGAAAUGAGUAAAAAUGGGAAAGAGGGUUUCAUAAAAUCGAAGUUGUGUUUUUUUUUUAAUAAAAUCUUUUCGAGAUGCAUAUAUAAAUUCGUAGGAAAGAUUCACUCUUAAUUACAUAUGGAUUGAACUGAUUCAAUCCUUAGAAAAUUUUCCUCCCACAACGCACGUAAGUUACAUACAGAAUAUCGAAAAAUAAAAAUCAAUAUGUAAAAUUCAUAUGUAAACAUGGAUAGGUAAUUGCAAUUUUUUUUAUAGUGCAAUGACUUUGAUAACCAUGAUGGCUUUCAAAAAAAAAAAUUACCUAUAAAAAUUCUCCAACACUCAAAUCAAUAAAAAAACUUUAAAAUUGUAAGAUCUUAUACCAUAUAUUUUAUAUUCAUUUGAGUAGGAUAAAUACAUACAAUAAUUUAUUUCUAAUAUAUGAUCAAACUUUAUUAUAAAAAUAUAGGAAGUUUUCACCAUUUUCGUCAUUAAUAAAGAUUAAUAUCGAAUUUUCGAUAUUGAAUAAAAAAUAAAAAUAAUCAUUUAAACUUUAAAGAGAUAAAAAGCAAAAUAUUUAACGAACCAAAAUUAAGAAAUUUACUUUACAGAAAAUCGAAACAUAUACUUAGAUCAACUGCUAUUCUUUUUUUUUUCAUAUUUUUCACGUGUUUAGAAGUCUUGGGAUUUUUAAUCAUUUCUAUCCAUAAAAACUGUUCACCUUAUCACCGUCGCACCGUCGCACCGUCGCUUAGCUCUAUAAAUGGGUUCUCGCUUCUUCUUUUAUUCACAGAAGCUUAACUGAACAGAGAAGAGAAAAGNCUUGAGAUUUGUUCCAUAGCCAACCAAAGAAAUGGCGAGUACAAAGCUUUUUGCUCUCUUCCUUCUUUCUGUCUUAACCUUCUACCCUCCUUCAACCACUGCUGCAGACCUGCAUGGUAACAUCGUUUAUAGAGUUUAUAGAAUUUUUAAACAUCAACACACUAAUUAAUUAAUUUUUACACUAAUUAAAUAAAAAUAAAAGACUUUUUUUUCUUAAACAAAAAUAUAAAAAUAAAUAAAUAACAUAACAAUUAUUAUUUAAAAAAAUAUGCACUCGAAAUACUAAUUUCUAAAAAAAACGCUAAUAACUCAAAUAUACUUUAUUUUUUUAACUCUUCUUUUCUCAUAUUUUACAAUGUCUAUUUAUUUUUUAAUUUAAAAAACUAAAACAUAUAGAGUUUGAGAUAAAAAUAAUUUCAAUUUUAUAUUAUAUUUUAAGUAAUAAAAAGCAAUUUUAUAACUUCAUGCAAAACAUAUAACAAUAAAAAAUAACACCAAACAAAAACAAAACAAAGCAAAUAAACAUUUAUUUUCUUCGAAAGUAUUCAUAACGUGCAAGUCACGGUCAUGCUAAAGCAUUACUAGUACUAUUAAUAUUUAAGAGUCAUCAAAUGAUGUUUAUUAAUGUAUGCUUUUGGUUUGAUAUAAAUGAGAUAUAUUUAACACAAGUUAAUUAAAUAUUUUAAAUAAUUCUUUCUUAUUUAUUCAUUUUAAAAUAAAACUUAGAUAUUUAAAACAGAUAUUUCAUUUGUAAAUAAUUUCUUUUGUAAAUAAUAAAGUAAAAGAAUUGGACAUUUUAAUAAUAGCUGAAAAAUAUAAUAAAAAUUUGAAACAGAUAAAUGCAAAAUAUUUUUAUCCAACCAAAAUUAAGAAAUUUAUUUUACAGAAAAUCGAAACAUAUAUCUAAACCUAAGUAUUAUUUUCCUUUUUCUCAUUUUUUUCACGUGUUUAUAGGUACCAGGAAUUUCUAGCCAUAUAAAAUGUUUACCUUAUCACCAUCCACCUCUAUAAAUGAGUUCUCCCAUCUUCUCUUAUUCACACAACCUUAGCUGAACAGAGAAGAGAAAAGCCUUGAAAUUUGUUCCAUAGCCAACCAAAGAAAUGGCGAGUACAAUGCUUUUUGCUCUCUUUCUUCUGUCUGUCCUAACCUUCUACCCUCCUUCAAUCACUGCUCAACCUGUCACGGACAUGUAUGGCAACGUCGUUACAAACGGUGGCAUAUUCCAUAUAUUGCCACCAAUUACAAUAGGCGGUGGAAUUAAACGAAUCAAAACUGGAAACGAAACGAUCCCACUCAGUGUUGCGCGAUCUCCCAUCUGGAGCGAUAAAGGCCAAAAGAUUAGAAUUUCAUCCCCCUACAAAUCCUUAUUUAUCCCUAACGGCUCUCCAGUGUCACUUGAAUUCGAACUAAUUCCUAUUCUCGGUGCCUCCCCUACUCAGUGGGUCGCUGUUGCGGGUCUGACUGAAGGAACCCUCGUUAAAGUUGGCUACGAAAAUGCAAUCACAGGUUCCUUUUCUAUUCACAGAAUCGG
This 2724-nucleotide long non-coding RNA is filed under the name Vigna radiata. RNAcentral describes it as "long non-coding RNA (VRAD_LNC014650)". Lineage: Eukaryota; Viridiplantae; Streptophyta; Magnoliopsida; Fabales; Fabaceae. The record is from RNAcentral.